AGAUUGAACGCUGGCGGCAGGCCUAACACAUGCAAGUCGAGCGGCAGCACGGGUACUUGUACCUGGUGGCGAGCGGCGGACGGGUGAGUAAUGCCUAGGAAUCUGCCUGGUAGUGGGGGAUAACGCUCGGAAACGGACGCUAAUACCGCAUACGUCCUACGGGAGAAAGCAGGGGACCUUCGGGCCUUGCGCUAUCAGAUGAGCCUAGGUCGGAUUAGCUAGUUGGUGAGGUAAUGGCUCACCAAGGCGACGAUCCGUAACUGGUCUGAGAGGAUGAUCAGUCACAC
RNAcentral lists this ribosomal RNA (287 nucleotides) under uncultured soil bacterium. Its description in RNAcentral is "partial 16S ribosomal RNA". It matches the Rfam family "Bacterial small subunit ribosomal RNA", at positions 26 to 313 of the family's 1533-position model. The record is from RNAcentral.